RNAcentral lists this unclassified non-coding RNA (344 nucleotides) under soil metagenome. Its description in RNAcentral is "partial contains 5.8S ribosomal RNA, internal transcribed spacer 2, and large subunit ribosomal RNA". The stretch from base 1 to 120 matches the Rfam family "5.8S ribosomal RNA", at positions 35 to 154 of the family's 154-position model. The record is from RNAcentral.
GAUGAAGAACGCAGCGAAAUGCGAUACGUAAUGUGAAUUGCAGAAUUCAGUGAAUCAUCGAGUCUUUGAACGCACAUUGCGCCCCCUGGUAUUCCGGGGGGCAUGCCUGUCCGAGCGUCAUUGCUGCCCUCAAGCACGGCUUGUGUGUUGGGACUCCGUCCUCCUCCCGGGGGACGGGCCCGAAAGGCAGCGGCGGCACCGCGUCCGGUCCUCGAGCGUAUGGGGCUUCGUCACCCGCUCUUGUAGGCCCGGUCGGCGCUUGCCGACACAUCAAUCUUUUUUCCAGGUUGACCUCGGAUCAGGUAGGGAUACCCGCUGAACUUAAGCAUAUCAAUAAGCGGAGA